UAGACUCGAAGAUGUUAAAUUUGUAAACAGAAAUGUGAGACAUUUAGAAACGACUUGUGGCUAUCAGUUGAUCACCUGUGAUUCAAUCCACGCUGUCCUCCAUGUGUGUAAUGCAGAUGCCUUGAGUCUUGCCAGAACCAAGUCAGAAACACUGAUCCAAUAGAGAAAGCAAUUAGCAGUAGACAUAAUCAGAGGGAGAAGAAUACAGGGAUGUACAGUGGAGUACCAUUUCCAACUUUUUGCAUCACCUUUUGCUUGUUUCAAAGAUUUGAAAAUUGUAUUGUAACUAGACUUGGUGAAAAUUGAGAACUUAGUCACAAGUUUGUCUGAUCAUCUGUUUUGUUUGUUUGUUUUAUCACUAUAGCAGGAACCCCACCCUCUAACUUUAACACUACCUGUGGAGCCCUGGGUGGAAGGCCUUGCCAAAGGACUUCUUAUCCAGCCCCACCCAGAUUCAGAGAAUAGAAAUAUGUUUAUCUCUUGCUAAAUAUGAUUAUAUCUUUCAUAAUAAACCUUCAUAUUGAAGGUGACAUGUAUGAAUAUGUAUGUACAGAACUCUCUCUGCUUGCAUUUUUGGCAACGACAUGUUUGUUGACUGGAUUGUGAUAGACACAUGCAAUGUGUAGAUUCCUAUGGUGCCCCAUUUCCCUUCGGAUGACUAAACAAUGGACACUGUGUUGUUUGUCUCCCCCUAUUCCAGUAGGGGCAAAAGGACAAUCCUGAUCGGACUUUGACCAAGGGGAAAAUGUAUAAAGAAUUGUGUACAAAGAACUCAUAUUGUAGAUCUAUAUGAAAAUUGCUGUAGGAGUUAAAAAUAAUUGACAAAAUAUCCAUUCAUUGGAGAUCAUGUUAAAUGUGGGUGUGCCCAUGCUGUCUCUUGCUGGUGAGCACUUACUUGUACAGAUAUGUUUUUUUUAUUUGUUUUGUUUUGUUUUGUUUUGUUCUUUUUCUUUUCUCUUUCUUUCUGACCUGUUGUUGCAUGUGUUGGGAGUGCUUGGCACCAUCCAGACAAGAUGGAGACUCCACGCUUUGGCUGGCCCAAAUCAAUAUUACGGACUCACAGAUGGACUCACAGACUCACAGAUUACGCACAAUAACUGGCACAUAGGAAAAGAUGAACACACAAAACUUUAUACCUACUCACUUACAUGUACAUGUACAUGCAUACACAUACACACAUACAUUCAAUACCCCAAAAAUUGCUGUGGGACGGUCAGUUGAGAAGAAGACAGUAAGAUGAAAUGGGCCCUUUCCAGGAUAACGGUGAUGACCUCACUGUAUGGUACACAAUGGAUGGCGGAGCUGAUUGCGAGUGUGCAUGUGUCUCUGUUUGUCUUCGCUGUAUGUGUGUAUGAGUGUGUAUGUGUGCGAGCGCGAGUGGGGGCAGACAUGUUUGUAUUUGUCCGAGUAUCUUGUAUGAGCGUAUGAACUGUUUUCCUUUUUUCGUCUCUGUAUAGCUACCACUUGUAAAAUGUGAUGAGUAUGUGUCAAGAGUUUGUAAGCUGUAACUUUCUGAGAACUAUUGUACUAAAAUGCACUCAAUAAACGCCUUGGAAAACAAGUCAAUCACAUUUUGCUCUGUGACUCAGUGGGUGAUAAUUCUGUUU
Molecule: long non-coding RNA, 1607 nt
Filed under: Myripristis murdjan (pinecone soldierfish)
Lineage: Eukaryota; Metazoa; Chordata; Actinopteri; Holocentriformes; Holocentridae
Description: lncRNA (ENSMMDG00005010391.1)
Source: RNAcentral